CCUACGGGGGGCUGCAGUGAGGAAUAUUGGUCAAUGGGCGAGAGCCUGAACCAGCCAAGUCGCGUGAGGGAGUACUGCCCUAUGGGUUGUAAACCUCUUUUGUCGGGGAGCAAAAGCCGGACGUGUCCGGCUGUGAGAGUACCCGAAGAAAAAGCAUCGGCUAACUCCGUGCCAGCAGCCGCGGUAAUACGGAGGAUGCGAGCGUUAUCCGGAUUUAUUGGGGUGAAAGGGUGCGCAGGCGGAUUUUUAAGUCAGCGGUCAAAUCGUGGGGCUCAACCCCAUCCAGCCGUUGAAACUGGGGAUCUAGAGUGUGCGAGAGGUAUGCGGAAUGCGUGGUGUAGCGGUGAAAUGCAUAGAUAUCACGCAGAACCCCGAUUGCGAAGGCAGCAUACCGGUGCACAACUGACGCUCAGGCACGAAAGCGUGGGUAUCGAACAGGAUUAGAUACCCCAGUAGUC
RNAcentral lists this ribosomal RNA (458 nucleotides) under uncultured bacterium. RNAcentral's name for it is "partial 16S ribosomal RNA". It matches the Rfam family "Bacterial small subunit ribosomal RNA", at positions 338 to 795 of the family's 1533-position model. The record is from RNAcentral.